This 343-nucleotide long non-coding RNA is filed under the name Eucalyptus grandis. Its description in RNAcentral is "long non-coding RNA (EGRA_LNC002449)". The record is from RNAcentral. Lineage: Eukaryota; Viridiplantae; Streptophyta; Magnoliopsida; Myrtales; Myrtaceae.
AAACUUCGAUUUUCUUCCUACCCAACAUUCUGGAAAAUUCCAGAUUUCACAUUUUUGUAGGAAAAUUAGUUCGAGGGUCAUACUUUGUUCGUUUUCUCUGAAUUUUGGAUAUGUUAUUCAUGAAGAUGUGUUCUAAAACUUUCAUCAAGGGUUCGAAAUCAAAUUGUGGUCAGAUAAUUACAGAAAAUUUAAAAUGUCGAUUGAGGUCACACUGAUUUUCACAAAAAACAGUUUACUAGUUCACAAAACUCCUCCUAUAUAUUAAUUAGAUUGAAUUCAUCGCAUUGAUAAUUUGAAGCUACACUCCCGACUUCAAGAUUUUCAAAGAUUGGUUUUAAAAGAC